UGGGGAAUAUUGGACAAUGGAGGAGACUCUGAUCCAGCAAUUCUGUGUGCACGAAGAAGGUUUUCGGAUUGUAAAGUGCUUUCAGCAGGGAAGAAGAAGGUGACGGUACCUGCAGAAGAAGCGACGGCUAAAUACGUGCCAGCAGCCGCGGUAAUACGUAUGUCGCGAGCGUUAUCCGGAAUUAUUGGGCAUAAAGGGCAUCUAGGCGGCCAAUCAAGUCAGGGGUGAAAACUUACGGCUCAACCGUGAGCCUGCCCUUGAAACUGAGGGGCUGGAGUGCCGGAGAGGUGGGCGGAACUACACGAGUAGAGGUGAAAUUCGUAGAUAUGUGUAGGAAUGCCGAUGAUGAAGAUAGCUCACUGGACGGCAACUGACGCUGAAGUGCGAAAGCUAGGGGAGC
RNAcentral lists this ribosomal RNA (400 nucleotides) under uncultured bacterium. RNAcentral's name for it is "bacterial SSU rRNA". It matches the Rfam family "Bacterial small subunit ribosomal RNA", at positions 355 to 769 of the family's 1533-position model. The record is from RNAcentral.